This 467-nucleotide ribosomal RNA is filed under the name uncultured bacterium. Its description in RNAcentral is "partial 16S ribosomal RNA". It matches the Rfam family "Bacterial small subunit ribosomal RNA", at positions 28 to 506 of the family's 1533-position model. The record is from RNAcentral.
GACGAACGCUGGCGGCGUGCUUAACACAUGCAAGUCGAACGGAAAGGCCCUGCUUUUGUGGGGUGCUCGAGUGGCGAACGGGUGAGUAACACGUGAGUAACCUGCCCUUGACUUUGGGAUAACUUCAGGAAACUGGGGCUAAUACCGGAUAGGAGCUCCUGCUGCAUGGUGGGGGUUGGAAAGUUUCGGCGGUUGGGGAUGGACUCGCGGCUUAUCAGCUUGUUGGUGGGGUAGUGGCUUACCAAGGCUUUGACGGGUAGCCGGCCUGAGAGGGUGACCGGCCACAUUGGGACUGGGAUACGGCCCAGACCCCUACGGGGGGCAGGAGGGGGGAAUUUGGCAAAAGGGGCGGAAGCCGGAUGCAGCAACCCCGCGGGGGGGAGGACGGCCUUCGGGUUGUAAACCGCUUUCGCCUGUGACGAAGCGUGGGUGACGGUAAUGGGUAAAGAAGCACCGGCUAACUACGU